UCGGGAAUUUUGGACAAUGGGCGCAAGCCUGAUCCAGCCAUGCCGCGUGCAGGAUGACGGUCCUAUGGAUUGUAAACUGCUUUUUGUACAGGAAGAAACAGUUCUACGUGUAGAACCUUGACGGUACUGUAAGAAUAAGGAUCGGCCAACUCCGUGCCAGCAGCCGCGGUAAUACGGAGGAUCCAAGCGUUAUCCGGAAUCAUUGGGUUUAAAGGGUCCGUAGGCGGUUAGAUAAGUCAGUGGUGAAAGCCCAUCGCUCAACGGUGGAACGGCCAUUGAUACUGUCUGACUUGAAUUAUUAGGAAGUAACUAGAAUAUGUAGUGUAGCGGUGAAAUGCUUAGAGAUUACAUGGAAUACCAAUUGCGAAGGCAGGUUACUACUAAUGGAUUGACGCUGAUGGACGAAAGCGUGGGUAGCGAACAGGAUUAGAUACCCCAGUAGUCCCUGAGCGGGCUGGCAAGGCGCAU
RNAcentral lists this ribosomal RNA (468 nucleotides) under uncultured bacterium. RNAcentral describes it as "bacterial SSU rRNA". It matches the Rfam family "Bacterial small subunit ribosomal RNA", at positions 355 to 825 of the family's 1533-position model. The record is from RNAcentral.